CGCUGCUGCUGCAGCAGAGCAAGUACCGAGACUUGCUACUGCCAAUACAUCCACAACAUGCUGCUUCGAGUAUGGAAGAAAUAAUGCUGCUGCAAAUAUAACAUACAUGAAAUAACCCCAUAGCAUACAUGAAUCACCUCAUAGCAGAUCUAUACAGGUGGUGCUGGGGAAGGUGGAGGGGUUCUUAAGCAAUCUGCACCGCUACGGCAAACUCUAGUCAUAUAUUUUAAUGUUGAGCAGCGAGCUCAUUGGCUACCAAUACAGAGAAACCAAUCAGCUGUGCCAUGUGAUAAUGAUGUCAUUACGUCAGACUGAGUUAGACCUAUCGGACUGCGCCAUCAGAGUUUCAUGCCAGAACUCUGUAUUUCUUGGGUAUCUCAACUUUCCUUUUCUAGUGCUUUUCUUCUAGAUCUCUUUACAGUAGUGCAAUGAAAAUAAACUUUUCUUAAUGCUUAUAAAUUUCACUGUAUCUGCAGAAAUGUUUUUAGAAAAUGGUGAAUUAUUUCAUGAAUUUUGUGUUACUGUAAGGAACCAUGAUGUACCAGCUGAUUUGAUAAAUAUCCUUUUAAAAGUAAAUGGCAUUUAUGUUUGCAAAACAAGUUAGACUUACCACAGUUACCACAUGUGAUGCCAAUGCAAAGAAUUCAGGGGAUGAUCGGUUGCUAUAUACUUCUCUGAAAGUUUCAUUUAGACUGAAUCUUAAGUGUAUGCUUCCCUCUUCUAUGGUAGGAGGAUCAGUGUUUGUGGCCUCUGUCGUCAGUGUAAUUUCUGAAUCUGUGGUACCAAAGUUGUUCAACGUAGUAUGUCCUGUUGAUAAAGAACCAGUUUCAGGUUGAUUUGUAGGUUUUUGUGUCACUCUUUCGACAGUGGUGGAGACCUCUGAAGUAUGAGAUACUGUUACUGGCUUCAUUGUUGUUGCUGUUGUUGUUGUCAUUGUUUCAGAAUGUAAUACAGGGGAUGAAACCUCAGCUGAUGUAUUCUUGGUUGAUUCUGGUUCACUGCUAACAGUAGCUGCUGUAGUUGUCCCUGAUGCAGUUGCUGCCAAUGCUGAUGUCACUGGUACCCAGGUAGAAGCUUUGGGCGCAGUAGCAGACUCUCUUGUUGUCACUGCAUCUUCAGUUGUAGUUAUUGUUGCUGUGGUGGUCCCUGCUGUAGUUGCUGGUGAUGCUGAUGUCACUCCUGCUGAUGCUGCAGUAGUUGCACUUGUUGUUCGUACCAACAAUGUUGAGGCUUCUGCAGAUGAUUCUGAAGUUCUGGAUGUUCUUGCAGUUGUUGUUUUUACUUCACCUGUCUCAGGUAUAGUUGAUGAUCCCUCUGUUUUUGGGGCUGCUGCUGUAGUGGGAGCAAAUGUUGAUUUUGUUGUACCAGAUGCUGUCAAUGUAGUUAUUCCUGCUGAUGAAGAACCAGUGUCAGCAUGUGUUGUAGGUUCUUGUGUCACUCUUUCGACAGUGGUGGAGACUUCUGAUGUGUGGGCCACUGUUACUGGCUUCACUGACAUUAAUGUUGUAGAUCCCUUUUGGACUGUUAAGGGUUCUGUUGUGACUUGAGAUGUCACUAGUACCAAGGUUGAAGCGUUGGGUGCAGUAGUAGACUCUGCUAUGCUUGUUGUCGAUGUUGUUGUGACUGUAUCUCCUGCCACAGUAUGUAACACAGUAGAUGGACCCACAGCUAGUGUGUUCUUGGUUGAUUCUGGUUCAUUGCUAACAGUUGCUGCUGUGGUUGAGCCCAGUGCUGUUGCUGGCAAUGCUGAUGUCACUCCUGCUGAUGCUGCAGUAGUUGCACUUGUUGUUCGUACCAACGAUGUUGGGGCUUCUGCAGAUGAUUCUGUAGUUAUGGAUGUGCUUGCAGUUGUUGUCUUUACUUCACCUGUUUCAGGUAAAGAUGAUGAUCCCUCUGUUUUUGGUGCUGCUGUAGUGGGAGCAAAUGUUGAUUUUGUUGUACCAGAUGCUGUCAAUGUAGUUAUUCCUGCUGAUGAAGAACCAGUGUCAGCAUGCGUUGUAGGUUCUUGUGUCACUCUUUCGACAGUGGUGGAGACUUCUGAUGUUACUGGCUUCACUGACAUUAAUGUUGUAGUUUCCUUUUGGACUGUUGAGGGUUCUGGUGUGACUUGAGAUGUCACUGGUACCAAGGUUGAAGCUUUGGGUGCAGUAGUAGACUCUGCUAAGCUUGUUGUCGAUGUUGUUGUGACUGUAUCUCUUGCCACAGUAUGUAACACAGUAGAUGGACCCACAGCUAGUGUGUUCUUGGUUGAUUCUGGUUCAUUGCUAACAGUUGCUGCUGUGGUUGAGCCCAGUGCUGUUGCUGGCAAUGCUGAUGUCACUCCUGCUGAUGCUGCAGUAGUUGCACUUGUUGUUCGUACCAAUAAUGUUGGGGCUUCUGCAGAUGAUUCUAUAGUUAUGGAUGUGCUUGCAGUUGUUGACUUUACGUCACCUGUUUUAGGUAAAGAUGAUGAUCCCUCUGUUUUUGGUGCUGCUGUAGAGGGAGCAAAUGUUGAUUUUGUUGUACCAGAUGCUGUCAAUGUAGUUAUUCCUGCUGAUGAAGAACCAGUGUCAGCAUGCGUUGUAGGUUCUUGUGUCACUCUUUCGACGGUGAUGGAGACUUCUGAUGUAUGGGCCACUGUUACUGGCUUCACUGACAUUAAUGUUGUAGUUUCCUUUUGGACUGUUGAGGGUUCUGGUGUGACUUGAGAUGUCACUGGUACCAAGGUUGAAGCUUUGGGUGCAGUAGUAGACUCUGCUAAGCUUGUUGUCGAUGUUGUUGUGACUGUAUCUCCUGCCACAGUAUGUAACACAGUAGAUGGACCCACAGCUAGUGUGUUCUUGGUUGAUUCUGGUUCAUUGCUAACAGUUGCUGCUGUGGUUGAGCCCAGUGCUGUUGCUGGCAAUGCUGAUGUCACUCCUGCUGAUGCUGCAGUAGUUGCACUUGUUGUUCGUACCAAUAAUGUUGGGGCUUCUGCAGAUGAUUCUCUAGUUAUGGAUGUGCUUGCAGUUGUUGACUUUACGUCACCUGUUUUAGGUAAAGAUGAUGAUCCCUCUGUUUUUGGUGCUGCUGUAGUGGGAGCAAAUGUUGAUUUUGUUGUACCAGAUGCUCUCAAUGUAGUCAUUCCUGCUGAUGAAGAACCAGUGUCAGCAUGCGUUGUAGGUUCUUGUGUCACUGUUUCGACAGUGGUGGAGACUUCUGAUGUUACUGGCUUUACUGACAUUAAUGUUGUAGUUUCCUUUUGGACUGUUGAGGGUUCUUGUGUCACUGUUUCGACAGUGGUGGAGACUUCUGAUGUUACUGGCUUUACUGACAUUAAUGUUGUAGUUUCCUUUUGGACUGUUGAGGGUUCUUUUGUGACUUGAAAUGUCACUGGUACCAAGGUUGAAGCUUUGGGUGCAGUAGUAGACUCUGCUAAGCUUGUUGUCGAUGUUGUUGUGACUGUAUCUACUGCCACGGAAUGUAACACAGUAGAUGAACCCACAGCUAGUGUGUUCUUGGUUGAUUCUGGUUCAUUGCUAACAGUUGCUGCUGUGGUUGAGCCCAGUGCUGUUGCUGGCAAUGCUGAUGUCACUCCUGCUGAUGCUGCAGUAGUUGCACUUGUUGUUCGUACCAAUAAUGUUGGGGCUUCUGCAGAUGAUUCUCUAGUUAUGGAUGUGCUUGCAGUUGUUGUCUUUACUUCACCUGUUUCAGGUAAAGGUGAUGAUCCCUCUGUUUUUGGUGCUACUGUAGUAGGAGCAAAUGUUGAUUUUGUUGUACCAGAUGCUGUCAAUGUAGUUAUUCCUGCUGAUGAAGAACCAGUGUCAGCAUGCGUUGUAGGUUCUUGUGUCACUCUUUCGACAGUGGUGGAGACUUCUGAUGUUACUGGCUUUACUGACAUUAAUGUUGUAGUUUCCUUUUGGACUGUUGAGGGUUCUUUUGUGACUUGAAAUGUCACUGGUACCAAUGUUGAAGCUUUGGGUGCAGUAGUAGACUCUGCUAAGCUUGUUAUCGAUGUUGUUGUGACUGUAUCUACUGCCACGGAAUGUAACACAGUAGAUGAACCCACAGCUAGUGUGUUCUUGGUUGAUUCUGGUUCAUUGCUAACAGUUGCUGCUGUGGUUGAGCCCAGUGCUGUUGCUGGCAAUGCUGAUGUCACUCCUGCUGAUGCUGCAGUAGUUGCACUUAUUGUUCGUACCAACGAUGUUGGGGCUUCUGCAGAUGAUUCUGUAGUUCCGGAUGUUCUUGCAGUUGUUGUCUUUACUUCACCUGUUUCAGGUAAAGGUGAUGAUCCCUCUGUUUUUGGUGCUACUGUAGUAGGAGCAAAUGUUGAUUUUGUUGUACCAGAUGCUGUCAAUGUAGUUAUUCCUGCUGAUGAAGAACCAGUGUCAGCAUGCGUUGUAGGUUCUUGUGUCACUCUUUCGACAGUGGUGGAGACUUCUGAUGUUACUGGCUUUACUGACAUUAAUGUUGUAGUUUCCUUUUGGACUGUUGAGGGUUCUGGUGUGACUUGAGAUGUCACUGGUACCAAGGUUGAAGCUUUGGGUGCAGUAGUAGCCUCUGCUAAGCUUGUCGAUGUUGUUGUGACUGUAUCUCCUGCCACAGUAUGUAACACAGUAGAUGGACCCACAGCUAGUGUGUUCUUGGUUGAUUCUGGUUCAUUGCUAACAGUUGCUGCUGUGGUUGUGCCCCAAACAGUUGCUGGCAAUGCUGAUGAUGCUCCUGUUGAUGUUAAAGUAGUUGCACUUGUUGCCUCGGCAGCUGUAAAAAUCGCAUUAGAUGAUGGUAUUUUUGUUGCUGGCGGUGCUGUUUCUGAUGCAGACACUGUUGUUUCAUUUGGUGUUAUUGAAACUGUUUUGGUUGUUAAAGGUUCUGUUGUGACUUGAGGUGAUGAUGACUCUGUUAUUGCAGAUUGUACUGCAUUGCUUGACACUGCCUCUGUUGUAGAUAGUGUUUGUGUAAGCUGAAUUGUU
Cyprinus carpio carpio is the source of this 4931-nucleotide long non-coding RNA. The record is from Ensembl. Lineage: Eukaryota; Metazoa; Chordata; Actinopteri; Cypriniformes; Cyprinidae.